GGAGAGGUGAACGGUACAGUGAAUUCACAUGAUGUCCCAUCUGAAAUGCACAAUGGUGAGCAGGGAAUCUGAGAAGGAAGGAAGGAAGGAGGUAAGAAAGAAAGAGACUUUUCAAGGAUAAUGUACAUCAGACACAAGAAGUUUGGGUCAUAAGGAUGGUUUUUACAUUCCACCGCCCUUGAAGAGCUUUCAUAGACAGCCUGAGGAGUCCUGUGCUAAUUACAUGAGAUCCCUCUUCUGCUUGUCUCCUGGUUCUCAACCCAGCUGGGCUCCUCAGUGGGCUCCUCUGACCCCUGGAUUCCCCCCCGGGUUUGGCGGCAAAUCUGGAGGAGCCCCAAGGGCAGGCUCAGCCCUCUUUCCCCAAAGGCAAAGCGUCCGAGGCUUGGACGCUGUGCGGGGGCCAGCCUGAGCCAGGAAGACCACAUCAGUGGACGCUCAGUCACCAGAAGGCAACAUGCUGUCCAUCCAUUGAACCCACUAUAGUCUCCCACCUGUAGAGCUAUCGGAUCCCUGCCAGAGCAAGAAGAAACACCUCAGCUGGAGGACGCCAUUCCAAAUAUUUUUCUGGAGGUGGGGAAGGGAAGGAGAGAGGAAGGAUGGUGCCGCAAGCGACUGUUGUCUCGGAUGUGAUCAUGAGCCAUCCCAUAUAAAUGCCCACCUUGUCUUGCUGUGUACUCAUUGUCUUCGAUCAACCUCGCCAAUCCAAAGUCAGCAAUCUUGCAUAUUAGUCCGUUCCCCACUAGGAUGUUUGCUGACCGCAGGUCCCUGUGGAUGUAAUUCAUGCGCUCGAUGUAAGCCAUUCCCGCGGCAACCUGUAGGAACGGAGGAACAGGACGCACGUCACACCACGACUCCACGGGCUCACACGGCCUUACGCCUGAGGCGGGCGUCAGAGGACCACGCAGCCUACCUGUGCUGCCAUAUCCACGAGGUUUGGUAAUUUCAGAGCUCUUCCUUCCCCGUCUUUUAAGAAAUCGAGUAAACUUCCUGUGGACAAAACAUAAAACCAUUUCAAUUUACUCUGGAAGAUAAAAAUGCCUGACAAAGGGCUGCAUUUGGUUUUCUUAUUAGAAAUAAUGAGGUGAUUGAAUAGAUGAUGCCGUUGAUGAAGAAAAAAGAGAUUCAUACAAAAAAAAAAAGGAGGGUAGAAAAAACUCUUGUUUGAGAGGCAGCGGUUUUAUCUUUCAGAUUUCAGAUUUCAGCACAGACAAUGGUGACUUCAUUUCUAAGAACAAAAGUUUGGGGAUGCCUGGGUUGUUCAGUGGUGGAGCAUCUGCCUUUGGCUCAGGGUGUGAUCCCGGGAUCCUGGGAUCGAGUCACGCAUCAGGUCCCUGCAGGGAGCCUGCUUCUCCCUCUGCCUGUGUCUCUGCCUCUCUCUCUGUGUCUCUCGUGAAUAAAUAAAUAAAAUCUUAAAAAAAAAAACAACAAAAGUUUGAAAAAAGCAUAAUGCGUGGGAUAUGAUUCCCUUUAUGUCACAAAGAAGGGCACGUGGGGACAUGUGGGGAUACGUGGGGAGCUGCACCACUUUGCUUCAUCCCCAGCAGCCCCCACCGACAUGGGGAAGACGCUGCCCGCCAAGUGGUUCCCAAAGUGUGGUUCUGGGACCAGCAGGGAUUGCAUCCCUCGGGGAAUCUGUUAGAAACUCUCAGGUUGUGUGCCAGAAUCAGAAUCAGAAACUCAGGAGGCGGGGCCUGGAAACGUGCAGUGUGAGAAGCCUGCUGGGUGAUCUUGAUACAUAGCAAAGUUUGAGAAGCACUGGCCUAGCUUAUUUACAGAUUUUUAAAUCAAGGAAAGAAUAUCUGAGGAAUAUAGAGUGGGGCAGGUAGCUCCCCUCGUUGGAUCAUGGCCAGCCAGGCCUUCCGGAUAUUUGACGCCUCAGAGCCACCGUGACAGCACGGCCUAAGUUGCUUAGGACCAACACCAGGGCUCGAACAAUCCUGCGCAGAGGCCGGAGGCUUGUGAUGGUCACUGGUGAUUGCUUGCAUGCUUUAAUCACAAAGUUAUUGACCAAAUAACCCUGGAGACAAAAGACAAGCAAUCUGCCAGGAAAAAACAUUUUUUCCGAAUAUAUUUAAAAACAAAGUACAUGGAAAGGAAAAAAUUACACUGGGGUCCUCUGUUGUAUGAUGCAUUCAUUGCCUUUUAAGGUUGUUUCUUGUUUGGUUCGUCUAUUUUUCCGAAACAAAGUGAUCUUUGGCCUUAUCCCUGGCAAUACUGCUUUUGAUUAGAAAGACAGAGAGAGAAUGAGAAUAAAAUGCGCUCUCUAGGCCGCUUGGGUGCUGCAGUUGAUUGAACGCCUGGCUCUUGGUUUCGGCUCAGGUCAUGAUCUCCGGGUCGUGAGAUCGAGCCCUGCAUCAGGCUCUGCACUCAGCAGGGAGUCUGCUUGAGACUCUCUCUCCUUCUCCUUCUGCCCCUCCCGGUUGUAUUCUCUUUCUCUCUAAUAAAUAAAUAAAUCUUAAAAAAAAUGUGCUCUUUAAAAGCAUGUCUUUCUUCAUCUGAUAUUUAAGAGAGUUGGAAAAACAAAGGUGCUGAGAAGAUGGAGACAAAAUGAACCCAGAGACCUGUGUCUGAUAUGAACCCUUCAGCCCUGAAAAAGGAAAUUUAGCACAAGGCAUGCCAUCCGAAAUGACAGCAAAUGAUCACAGCCCUCGCCACCACCCUUGACAUUAAAAAUGAAUGCUUUCGUUACGGAGAGGAGCUGAGACUCCUGACAUGUGCAGCGUGUAAAAGGUGCUGUGUUUCAUAAGGACCUAGGGGUGGGAGCACACUCAAGGUCAUGGUCUGUUUUAAAACUGUUUUUAUUAAUGAGCAAUUUGUGCUUCCUGACGGGAAUGCUUGACUCAUGCAGAAAGCAGGGAAAAAGCAAGCAGGCACCACCAUUUCCCUCCC
Long non-coding RNA from Canis lupus familiaris (dog), 2889 nucleotides. RefSeq lists it as uncharacterized. Lineage: Eukaryota; Metazoa; Chordata; Mammalia; Carnivora; Canidae. The transcript has 4 exons. The record is from RefSeq and is a predicted model, not a curated record.